UACGUAGGGGGCUAGCGUUGUCCGGAAUCAUUGGGCGUAAAGAGCGUGUAGGCGGCCCGGUAAGUCCGCUGUGAAAGUCGGGGGCUCAACCCUCGAAUGCCGGUGGAUACUGUCGGGCUAGAGUGCGGAAGAGGCGAGUGGAAUUCCUGGUGUAGCGGUGAAAUGCGCAGAUAUCUGGAGGAACACCGGUGGCGAAGGCGGCAUCCUGGACCAAUUCUGACGCUGAGUGAGCGAAAGCCAGGGGAGCAAACGGG
This 254-nucleotide ribosomal RNA is filed under the name uncultured bacterium. Its description in RNAcentral is "partial 16S ribosomal RNA". It matches the Rfam family "Bacterial small subunit ribosomal RNA", at positions 524 to 776 of the family's 1533-position model. The record is from RNAcentral.